This is a long non-coding RNA of Cyprinus carpio (common carp), 1288 nucleotides long. The record is from Ensembl. Lineage: Eukaryota; Metazoa; Chordata; Actinopteri; Cypriniformes; Cyprinidae.
AGCUAGUUGAAGAGAACAAUGACUCAGUGUUCCAGUGUGACUGAGGGACAGUGCGCUGAAGCUUUACUCUCUCUACUCGAGUUGUAUAGAGAGCGCGUGCUUUGAAGUACAGCUGGCUGCAAUACUCAGCCAAUCUGAGCGCGCGACGAGCCGCGUCCGACCAAUGAGCGACGCGACCAUGACAGAAAUACUAAAGCUGCACGUCAAUCAAUGACUGGGGUACUGAUCCCACUGUCAAGCAAUAAGCCAUCAGCUAUUUUUCAUCGUUUUAUAUAUAUAUAUGCAUAUGGCCAUCAAGGCGCGCAAUCUGCACAGACUAUAUAGCUCUCAGCUCAUAUUGAUGUUUAAUAGGCAUCCUCCGAUGAACCUGUCGAUGAAAUGCAAGGAUGCAUCUUGGAGGAAGAGGACGGAGGGGCACCACUGAUCCCACAACAGGACGUAACGUGCAGAAGGAAGACGCGGCCGCUGCUGUCCCCACUGGAGCAGAGACGACGUGAGCCUUUGAUGUUCCACUCAAAAUUAUUAAUUCCCCGCGUCAGGUUCUGUGUUUCAUCUACAUUUAAAGUCCAAAUCUUGAGUGGCCUUGUGAAACCCUGCCCCCUAUCAAGAGCUCCAGAGUAUGGACUGAUCUACAGACAAACUCUGACGGCCUGAAAUCAAAGGCAUGUGCCUCACUCAGUGACUAAACAGGCUCGUCGUAAGGAAACAAGGCACCAUAUCGCAUCGUUAAAUGAUCUAGAACAAGUUCAGACGAGGUAACAACGGACAUAUUUACUGGCUACAAUGUUAAGUAGCAGUACAAAUAGGUUGGAAAAAGUUUUUGGCCCUUUUUUUUAAUUAUUGCUGAACCACACGCACAGGAUUGUGGGAUGUCGUAGGCGGUGAAGGAUCUAUGAGGUCUUCAAACUCCAACCAGAUGAAGGCAAGUUAGAUAGGAUGUUGUGCAAACUGUGGACUCUGACGUCGCUUGUUACCUUCCUACUAGCAUUUUUCAGUUUUUAGGCAUCGUCUGAGUGUGUCUAAAGCCCAGGGCCGUAACCACCAUAUAGACACUGUGGGGGACAAGUCCUUCUCCCCAAUAAUUAUAAAUGACAAAUUUCACAAAAUGUUACAUUUGUAGGCUGGCUUCUCUCAGUGGUCUAACCAUGCUAACCAUGAAUGAAGACUGGCUUUACUAUUCACAGAAACCUUUAAAAAGUCCCUCCCCCUAAUGUUCAAAUCACUGAGGCAUUAUAUUUACUGUAGGCUUGAAAAUGAAUAAAAGUGAAGACUAUUGUUUAGGAAACCA